AGAGAUCGCAAAUUUGUAAAUCAUGUUCAAUAUAAAAUGUGGUUGAGAUAUUGGAGAAGAUCGCAAAUUUGUAAAUCAUGUUCAAUAUAAACUGAUGAUUUAUGUGGUUGAGAUAUUGGAGAAGAUCGCAAAUUUGUAAAUCAUGUUCAAUACUUGGUCGAGAUAUUGGAGAAGAUCGCAAAUGUCGAGAUAUUGGAGAAGAUCUCAAAUGUGUAAAUCAUGUUCAAUAUAAACUGAUGAGGGUGAUUAGUAGUUAGUUGAUUGGAACCAUUUUGAGAUAUGCUUGUCUUCCUUUCGUCAAGCUAGGGUUUGUCUUCCUCUCGUCAAGCUUGGGUUUGCUCCUAGAGUUAGGAGCUUUCGGUUUCCUUAACAUAUUCCUUUUUUUUUUUUAAAUGUAAAGUCUGGAUUAAUAUUGAUAAACGUGCUCGCCGCAAUUUGCAUUAUUGAGCUUCUUUCAGUUUCUCUAACAUAUUUCCUUUUCAUAUAAAGUUUGAAUUAAUAUUCCUAAACCACUAAAGUUAG
Molecule: long non-coding RNA, 522 nt
Filed under: Amborella trichopoda
Lineage: Eukaryota; Viridiplantae; Streptophyta; Magnoliopsida; Amborellales; Amborellaceae
Description: long non-coding RNA (ATRI_LNC004356)
Source: RNAcentral